Molecule: ribosomal RNA, 486 nt
Filed under: uncultured bacterium
Lineage: Bacteria
Description: partial 16S ribosomal RNA
Rfam family: Bacterial small subunit ribosomal RNA
Source: RNAcentral
GACGAACGCUGGCGGCGUGCUUAACACAUGCAAGUCGAACGCUGAAGACCUGGCUUUUGUUGGGUUGGAUGAGUGGCGAACGGGUGAGUAACACGUGAGUAACCUGCCCUCUUCUUUGGGAUGACGCCCGGAAACGGGUGCUAAUACUGGAUAUUCACUGAUCUUCGCAUGGGGGUUGGUGGAAAGGUUUGUUCUGGUGGGGGAUGGGCUCGCGGCCUAUCAGCUUGUUGGUGGGGUGAUGGCCUACCAAGGCUUUGACGGGUAGCCGGCCUGAGAGGGUGACCGGUCACAUUGGGACUGAGAUACGGCCCAGACUCCUACGGGAGGCAGCAGUGGGGAAUAUUGCACAAUGGGCGAAAGCCUGAUGCAGCGACGCCGCGUGAGGGAUGGAGGCCUUCGGGUUGUAAACCUCUUUCGCUCAUGGUCAAGCCGCAACUGUGGGUUGUGGUGAGGGUAGUGGGUAAAGAAGCGCCGGCUAACUACGUG